RNAcentral lists this transfer RNA (103 nucleotides) under Immersiella caudata. RNAcentral's name for it is "Cercophora caudata tRNA". It matches the Rfam family "tRNA". Rfam says of the family: Transfer RNA (tRNA) molecules are approximately 80 nucleotides in length. Lineage: Eukaryota; Fungi; Ascomycota; Sordariomycetes; Sordariales; Lasiosphaeriaceae. The record is from Rfam by way of RNAcentral.
GCCCGGCUAGCUCAAUCGGUAGAGCGUGAGACUCUUAAAGAUGAAGAUACUUCAGUCUCACGAAAUCAUCUCAAGGUUGUGGGUUCGACCCCCACGUCGGGCU